Molecule: ribosomal RNA, 198 nt
Filed under: uncultured bacterium
Lineage: Bacteria
Description: partial 16S ribosomal RNA
Rfam family: Bacterial small subunit ribosomal RNA
Source: RNAcentral
ACGCUCGACACCUACGGGAGGCAGCAGUGGGGAAUAUUGCACAAUGGGGGAAACCCUGAUGCAGCGACGCCGCGUGAGUGAAGAAGUAUUUCGGUAUGUAAAGCUCUAUCAGCAGGGAAGAAGAUGACGGUACCUGAGUAAGAAGCCCCGGCUAACUACGUGCCCGCAGCCGCGGUAAUCUGAGCGGGCUGGCAAGGC